UGAACGCUAGCGACAGGCUAACACAUGCAAGUCGAGGGGCAGCACGGGAGUAGCAAUACGAACUGGUGGCGACCGGCGCACGGGUGAGUAACGCGUAUGCAACCUACCUAUCAGAGGGGAAUAACCCGGCGAAAGUCGGACUAAUACCGCAUAAAACAGGGGCACCGCAUGGUGAUAUUUGUUAAAGAGAUUCGCUGAUAGAUGGGCAUGCGUUCCAUUAGGUAGUUGGUGAGGUAACGGCUCACCAGGCCGACGAUGGAUAGGGGAACUGAGAGGUUGGUCCCCCACACUGGUACUGAGACACGGACCAGACUCCUACGGGAGGCAGCAGUGAGGAAUAUUGGUCAAUGGGCGGGAGCCUGAACCAGCCAAGUCGCGUGAAGGAAGAAGGAUCUAUGGUUCGUAAACUUCUUUUGCAGGGGAAUAAAGUGCAGGACGUGUCCUGUUUUGUAUGUACCCUGAGAAUAAGGAUCGGCUAACUCCGUGCCAGCCGCUGC
RNAcentral lists this ribosomal RNA (497 nucleotides) under uncultured bacterium. RNAcentral's name for it is "bacterial SSU rRNA". It matches the Rfam family "Bacterial small subunit ribosomal RNA", at positions 30 to 518 of the family's 1533-position model. The record is from RNAcentral.